Molecule: ribosomal RNA, 492 nt
Filed under: uncultured bacterium
Lineage: Bacteria
Description: partial 16S ribosomal RNA
Rfam family: Bacterial small subunit ribosomal RNA
Source: RNAcentral
AGUGAACGCUGGCGGUAGGCCUAACACAUGCAAGUCGAACGGCAGCACAGUAAGAGCUUGCUCUUACGGGUGGCGAGUGGCGGACGGGUGAGGAAUACAUCGGAAUCUACUUUUUCGUGGGGGAUAACGUAGGGAAACUUACGCUAAUACCGCAUACGACCUACGGGUGAAAGCAGUGGAUCUUCGGACCUUGCGCGAUUGAAUGAGCCGAUGUCGGAUUAGCUAGUUGGCGGGGUAAAGGCCCACCAAGGCGACGAUCCGUAGCUGGUCUGAGAGGAUGAUCAGCCACACUGGAACUGAGACACGGUCCAGACUCCUACGGGAGGCAGCAGUGGGGAAUAUUGGACAAAGGGGGCAAGCCUGAUCCAGCCAUACCGCGUGGGUGAAGAAGGCCUUCGGGUUGUAAAGCCCUUUUGUUGGGAAAGAAAAGCAGCAGGUUAAUACCCCGCUGUUCUGACGGUACCCAAAGAAUAAGCACCGGCUAACUUCGUG